Long non-coding RNA from Callorhinchus milii (elephant shark), 1377 nucleotides. RefSeq lists it as uncharacterized. NCBI's taxonomy places the organism in Eukaryota, Metazoa, Chordata, Chondrichthyes, Chimaeriformes, Callorhinchidae. The record is from RefSeq and is a predicted model, not a curated record. The transcript is spliced from 3 exons.
UAGGAUGUUCCAAGGCACUUAAAAAUCCUGGGUUGGCACCUGAGCUGGGGGUGGUUGGAAGGAGAAAGAUGACCAAAAGCGCAGGCAAAGAGAUCUCCUCAAUCUCCAGUAACAUGGUUCCCAACUCCUUAGUCAUCUGUUCCAGUGCCUUGGGACGUCCUCCCGACAUGAAAGGUAUCUCAAGUGAACAGCAAACCUCCGCCAGUACCAAGUGUUGAUAAUCCACAUCACCACACAGUCAUUAGCUAAAUGAGACUUACCCACACAUAGAAAUUUUGCUGUGUCUGGAAUGGAAAGCUUUAGCAGACAUCUGCCUUCAGCUUGGUGGAAGGACUUAUACAUGACAGUUUAUGAUGUGUCACUCAGCUUGAUGCUCCAGAGGUCCAAGUCCAAUAUAAGGUUUAUUCGAGGACAGCUGCGUAAUCCAGAUCCUCACGCUAUGGGUUUUGGCAAUUAGAUGUAACUCUGAUGAUGGCUAAUCUACCUCAGUAUCAGGUCAGUGUAGGUCAGAAACCUCUCUCUCUGCAGACACUUGCCAUUUUUAUCACAAUUUUUUUUUACCCCUUCAGAUAAUCCAAACUGGGAAUUGCCUCAGCUGCUCAGUGGGGUCUUUUGGGGGGAAUGUCAGCCAGUUGCAGCAGCCCAUUUCAUGAGGGCUGUGAGCUGCACCCUCUCCCACAAAACAAGUGUAGCUCUGUAUUCGGUAGAGUUGUGCUGUAUUUUGUGUAACUGUUGCGUGCAGACAGUGCGAAACAUUCACCUCCCCCACUUUAACAGCAAUAUAUAACGUAUACCUGCCAUUGAGGAGGAAGUACGGUCAAAUCAGAGUGGUGCCAAAUCAUCACUUUAUCUGAACAGAAAGGGCAGUGGCAUUCACAUAGAAUGGGGUUUGCUAAGGCCUUGAUGCCACAUUAUUUCAAGUAUUGGUGUCUCCUUCUCCCAAUCCAGGGAAUGUUUGUGCUCAAUGUCUCAUGUGAUAUCUGGGCUUGUUCAGCCAUAUAUUUUGUCACUUACACUGCAGUUAGCUGGUUAAAUUGGCAAGGCACAGAGAGUGUAAAAGCAGCAUCUUUAAAUAACAUGUCAUUGAGGUGUAAGUGGUUUUGCCAUUAGUACUAAGAAUGUGACCCCAUGUGGAAUGCCCAGACUCUCGAGCCAUUAUGUAACUCCUGGUCUUGAUUCCUUAUUUAGACUAAUCUCGUUCUCUACGUGACAGCCACCAGUCAAUCACAUGGCUUACACGGUGUAGUGGAGUGUGAUGCUGACACCCUAGGCUCUGUUAUGUGUUGGUAUUUAACUGAUUGCAUUAAAAAUAUUUAAGAUUUUAGUUCUAUUUCAAUUCUUGUCUGGUUGUUUUUAAAGAUCAGUUUUAACAUGGAC